UUGGAGGGCAAGUCUGGUGCCAGCGGCCGCGGUAAUUCCAGCUCCAAUAGCGUAUAUUAAAGUUGCUGCAGUUAAAAAGCUCGUAGUUGAAUUUCGGGACCAUCAUGUCGGUCGUGCCUCGGUACGUACUGGCAUUGUUGGUUUCUACCUUCUGACGAACCAUGAUGUCAUUUAUUUGGUGUUGUGGGGAAUCAGGACUGUUACUUUGAAAAAAUUAGAGUGUUUAAAGCAGGCUCACGCCUGAAUACAUUAGCAUGGAAUAAUGAAAUAGGACGUUUGAUUCUAUUUUGUUGGUUUCUAGGAUCGACGUAAUGAUUAAUAGGGAUAGUUGGGGGCAUUAGUAUUCAAUUGUCAGAGGUGAAAUUCUUGGAUUUAUUGAAGACUAACUACUGCGAAAGCAUUUGCCAAGGAUGUUUUCAUUAAUCAAGAACGAAAGUUAGGGGAUCGAAGACGAUCAGAUACCGUCGUAGUCUUAACCAUAAACUAUGCCGACUAGGGAUCGGAUGAUGUUAAUUUUUUAAUGACUCAUUCGGCGCCUUACGGGAAAC
Molecule: ribosomal RNA, 548 nt
Filed under: uncultured Glomeromycotina
Lineage: Eukaryota; Fungi; Glomeromycota
Description: SSU rRNA
Rfam family: Eukaryotic small subunit ribosomal RNA
Source: RNAcentral